This is a non-coding RNA of Podarcis lilfordi (Lilford's wall lizard), 74 nucleotides long. The record is from the annotation of a GenBank genome assembly. Lineage: Eukaryota; Metazoa; Chordata; Lepidosauria; Squamata; Lacertidae.
UUCUACGUAGCUCAGUUGGUUAGAGCAUGGGGCUGAUAAGGCCACGGUUGCAGGUUCGAAUCCCAUUAUGGGAU